GAUGAACGCUGGCGGCGUGCCUAAUACAUGCAAGUCGAGCGAACGGACGAGAAGCUUGCUUCUCUGAUGUUAGCGGCGGACGGGUGAGUAACACGUGGAUAACCUACCUAUAAGACUGGGAUAACUUCGGGAAACCGGAGCUAAUACCGGAUAAUAUUUUGAACCGCAUGGUUCAAAAGUGAAAGACGGUCUUGCUGUCACUUAUAGAUGGAUCCGCGCUGCAUUAGCUAGUUGGUAAGGUAACGGCUUACCAAGGCAACGAUGCAUAGCCGACCUGAGAGGGUGAGCGGCCACACUGGAACUGAGACACGGCCCAGACGCCUACGGGAGGCAGCAGUAGGGAAUCUUCCGCAAUGGGCGAAAGCCUGACGGAGCAACGCCGCGUGAGUGAUGAAGGGCUUCGGAUCGUAAAACUCUGUUAUUAGGGAAGAACAUAUGUGUAAGUAACUGUGCACAUCUUGACGGUACCGAAUCAGAAAGCCACGGCUAACUACGU
RNAcentral lists this ribosomal RNA (496 nucleotides) under uncultured bacterium. RNAcentral describes it as "partial 16S ribosomal RNA". It matches the Rfam family "Bacterial small subunit ribosomal RNA", at positions 28 to 506 of the family's 1533-position model. The record is from RNAcentral.